This is a non-coding RNA of Potamilus streckersoni, 77 nucleotides long. The record is from the annotation of a GenBank genome assembly. NCBI's taxonomy places the organism in Eukaryota, Metazoa, Mollusca, Bivalvia, Unionida, Unionidae.
GACCACUCUGGUGGCCUAGUGGUUGGAGUGUCCACUUCUGAUGCAGAAGGUUGUGGGAUCAAUCCCCAGCCAAGUCA